This is a long non-coding RNA of Monodelphis domestica (gray short-tailed opossum), 1871 nucleotides long. NCBI's taxonomy places the organism in Eukaryota, Metazoa, Chordata, Mammalia, Didelphimorphia, Didelphidae. The record is from Ensembl.
AGCCUAGUGAAGGACAGAAUAUAGCCAGAAGGUAGGGACAAAAGAGGGAGCAACUGAGGGAAAAAGUCAACUUCCUGUGGCACAAGCCAAUAUAUAUUCCUUCUAAUAUCAUCACUGAGGCCCACCCCAGGACAUCUCGGAUUGGGGAACAGUCACACAGGAAGCAGGAUCAGAGAACAGAACUCCAUCAUCACAAGAAAGGGAGUGUCCCAAGAAUGCCCAAGGGCUGCCAGGCACAGACUUCCAAUAUGGCGGCUUUCUAGUCAUCUUCAUUACCUAAGAGAGUUCUUGUUUAUAUAUAAAUAAGGAACAGGCCUUCUCACCUGUAAAAGAUCUAAACAAAAGAAAGGAAGAUUCAACCCAGUUUCAGAGCCUGAGACAUAGUUUGAACUUUAAAAUCAAACUUUUUCGAGGACCAAAAAGAGGAAUCAUUUCUCAAAAAAUAUCCCAAUUCAAUAUUAAUUUUCCACAUGAUCCUGGGCAUGUCACUUAACCUAAAUUGCCCAGUCUUUACUGCUUUUCUGCCUUGGAACCAAUUCUAAGGUAGAAGAUAUGGGUUUAAUAAAAAAUGAGUCAGGUAUAGGAUAGCAAAGAGAGUAGGCAGCAGGAGGCAAAGUCAGGGUGGCCAUCCAUUCCUGAGUGGUUUCUGGACUAUUCCAUCCCUCCUUCCCUCAGCAGCAGCAUCUACCAUUAACCAGGAUACAGACAUCCAAGCUGCUGUGGAAAGGUCCUUGAGGGAGCCCAAAGAGGAGAAAACAUUCCUUCAGGACACCCCAGCAGGCACAGAAAGCCAAAGGAAGGGGACAGGCAACAGCAGGAGGUUGAAGGUCAAAGGGAAGGAUGCUCCUCUUUGCACCAGAGGUUCUCUACAUCCCAAUCGGGAGAUCCAGCUGGCAGUAGGUGGUGGGAGUUGCCUUGUAUAGAUCAAAGUCAUUGUCUGGGGCCAAAGGAAGGCUCCCAGUGGCCUCUUGCGGCCUUCCCCCAGGGGAAAUGUUUUGCCUCAAAGGAGAUAGAAGGUAGGAGGUCAGAAGAACAUUUGCCUCCUUUUCUUACCUGAGACUGGAGAUGAACUCAUAGAACCCAACUGAACCCAGUCUUCCUCUGCUCAAUUAAUAUGGGAAUUCUGAAUCUAGGAUGGGAAGCAUAGAGGAUGGCUUUCUGUAACCAUCACCCACUUGAGGAGUGUCUCUCCUGUAUUGGGGGAGGGUGGUAUUGGGAGUUCUUUGGGGCCAGAUUAUAAGCUUUCUUGGGGAGAUGUCAAAAGAUAUGAAAGUUUACCUAUCACUACUGAAUGGCUAAUAGGGAUGGGGAUGGUAGGUAUAGGGACUAGAUCUAUGACUUCAUCUGUAUAGAGAACCUCAAGGAGAGGAAAUACCGUCUACCAAAAAAAAAGUUGGUACCUUCUCUGCAACUUAGAUUCUGAAAGCAUUUUCUAGGGUCCUGGGAGUUUAAGUUUCUUGUCCAAUGUCACACAGCCAGGAUAUAGCAGAAGUAAGACUUCCACUCAAGGCUCAAUUCUCUCUUUGUCCUGGACUGAAAUGCAAAUGCUACAAAACAGGACAUUUUCCUUGAAAAGCAGAAAUGGAGCAGAGGGAGAGAAUUAAUUGUAAAGAAGCAUUACAAUAAGGGCAUUUAGGUGGCUAGUGGAUAGAGAGCCAGACCCAGAUAUGGGAGGUCCUGGGUUCAAAUCUAGCCUCAGACAUUUCUUAGCUAUGUGAUCUGGGCAAGUCACUUAACCCAGAUUGCCUUGUACUUACUGCUCUUCUGCCUUGGAGCCAAUACUUAGUAUUAAUUCUAAGACAGAAGGUAAGGGUUUUUUUUUCAAGCAGCAUUACAAUAAAUCAUGAACAAGAAUUUAAAAAUAACUUUGU